UGGGGAAUUUUGGACAAUGGGCGAAANCCUGAUCCAGCAAUGCCGCGUGUGUGAAGAAGGCCUUCGGGUUGUAAAGCACUUUUGUCCGGAAAGAAAUCCUUGGCUCUAAUACAGUCGGGGGAUGACGGUACCGGAAGAAUAAGCACCGGCUAACUACGUGCCAGCAGCCGCGGUAAUACGUAGGGUGCAAGCGUUAAUCGGAAUUACUGGGCGUAAAGCGUGCGCAGGCGGUUUGCUAAGACCGAUGUGAAAUCCCCGGGCUCAACCUGGGAACUGCAUUGGUGACUGGCAGGCUAGAGUAUGGCAGAGGGGGGUAGAAUUCCACGUGUAGCAGUGAAAUGCGUAGAGAUGUGGAGGAAUACCGAUGGCGAAGGCAGCCCCCUGGGCCAAUACUGACGCUCAUGCACGAAAGCGUGGGGAGCAAAACAGGAUUAGAUACCCUGGUAGUCCACGCCCUAAACGAUGUCAACUAGUUGUUGGGGAUUCAUUUCCUUAGUAACGUAGCUAACGCGUGAAGUUGACCGCCUGGGGAGUACGGUCGCAAGAUUAAAACUCAAAGGAAUUGACGGGGUC
Molecule: ribosomal RNA, 573 nt
Filed under: uncultured bacterium
Lineage: Bacteria
Description: partial 16S ribosomal RNA
Rfam family: Bacterial small subunit ribosomal RNA
Source: RNAcentral